RNAcentral lists this ribosomal RNA (606 nucleotides) under Salmonella enterica subsp. enterica serovar Enteritidis. RNAcentral's name for it is "partial 23S ribosomal RNA". It matches the Rfam family "Bacterial large subunit ribosomal RNA", at positions 1 to 584 of the family's 2925-position model. Lineage: Bacteria; Pseudomonadati; Pseudomonadota; Gammaproteobacteria; Enterobacterales; Enterobacteriaceae. The record is from RNAcentral.
GGGUUGUGAGGUUAAGCGACUAAGCGUACACGGUGGAUGCCCUGGCAGUCAGAGGCGAUGAAGGGCGUGCUAAUCUGCGAUAAGCGCCGGUAAGGUGAUAUGAACCGUUAUAACCGGCGAUACCCGAAUGGGGAAACCCAGUGUGACUCGUCACACUAUCAUUAACUGAAUCCAUAGGUUAAUGAGGCGAACCGGGGGAACUGAAACAUCUAAGUACCCCGAGGAAAAGAAAUCAACCGAGAUUCCCCCAGUAGCGGCGAGCGAACGGGGAGGAGCCCAGAGCCUGAAUCAGCAUGUGUGUUAGUGGAAGCGUCUGGAAAGGCGCGCGAUACAGGGUGACAGCCCCGUACACAAAAGCGCAUGUGCUGUGAGCUCGAUGAGUAGGGCGGGACACGUGGUAUCCUGUCUGAAUAUGGGGGGACCAUCCUCCAAGGCUAAAUACUCCUGACUGACCGAUAGUGAACCAGUACCGUGAGGGAAAGGCGAAAAGAACCCCGGCGAGGGGAGUGAAAAAGAACCUGAAACCGUGUACGUACAAGCAGUGGGAGCCCCACCACCAAAGCAUUUGCUGUACCGCGUUGACGGAGCGAAGCGACGUCAAACCGA